RNAcentral lists this ribosomal RNA (253 nucleotides) under uncultured bacterium. RNAcentral's name for it is "partial 16S ribosomal RNA". It matches the Rfam family "Bacterial small subunit ribosomal RNA", at positions 524 to 776 of the family's 1533-position model. The record is from RNAcentral.
UACGUAGGGGGCAAGCGUUGUCCGGAUUUAUUGGGCGUAACGCGCGUGUAGGUGGCCAUGUAGGUCCGCUGUGAAAACUUGAGGCUCAACCUCAAGCUGUCGGUGGAAACCACAUGGCUAGAGUCCGGAAGAGGAGAGUGGAAUUCCUGGUGUAGCGGUGAAAUGCGCAGAUAUCAGGAAGAACACCAAUGGCGAAGGCAGCUCUCUGGGACGGUACUGACACUGAGACGCGAAAGCGUGGGGAGCGAACAGG